This is a long non-coding RNA of Scophthalmus maximus (turbot), 1313 nucleotides long. RefSeq lists it as uncharacterized. The record is from RefSeq and is a predicted model, not a curated record. Lineage: Eukaryota; Metazoa; Chordata; Actinopteri; Pleuronectiformes; Scophthalmidae. The transcript is spliced from 3 exons.
UGUUGGCAUCAGCAGUCGAGCAGCUUUAUCUCUCUAUCGUUAGUAACCUCAUUACUUUUCAAGUAAGAGACAUUACGCUGAGUUUCUUUGUCAAAAUUUGAGACACUAAAUAUAUUUGACUCAGCCUAUGUUAAGUUCUUACUUAGAAUCCUAAGCAGUGAAAUUGCCAAUUUGACUUAAACUGUCACAUGAAAACUUGUGGUGGAGCGUAACUGAAUACAUUUACUUACAGUUUUCGGGGUACAGUACUCAUAUUUCAGUGUAAAACUGUACUUUCAUCGUAUGCAGUUUAGUGUAGUUUUUUUAGGAUGCAUUGUUUGAGUAUGGCCACUAGGCGACAGUGUCGCAGCAGUCAGAGUCGGACCAGCGCAGCCUGAGCACCGCUCAUAGCACCGCUGCAGUUCGGUCAUCGCCGCGGAGUGUCGUCGUGCUCAAGUCAGUCCAGACCGCUGCUUCCUCCUGCGCUGGGAGCUCGGGAGCUGCACUCAGCGCUGACCGACGUGAAGGCAACAGGGGAUCGGUCUUCACUCUCUGGUCCACCUGCCUGCGAUCUCUCCUUAUUAUUAUUAUUAUUAUUGUUAUCAUUAAUAUAUUUUGUACAAUAAUAAUAAUAAUAAUAAUAACAACAAUAAUAAUAAUAUUAUUAUUAUUAUUGUUAUUAUUUCUCUCAGAUAUUAUUUGGAGUCUGGUGCGAAGUGCUUCAUCCUGCAGUACCCAAACCAUCGAGCAACAGCGGGAGGAACUUGGGGCAAUAUUUUUUUUUGUAUUUUCCCUUUUACGUUGCAUGCAAACCAUAACGAGAGCUGAGGAGGGGGCAGAAGAACCGGCGGGACACCAGGUUUUCAGAGAUAUAUCUGCCGAGGCUAAAAAAAACAACUCUCCACACUGUGUUGUUCAAAGAAAGAAUCCCAUGUGGCUGUCAGACACAUUAACAUUGACACACUGCUAUGGCCGAGCGUGUUUAAAAAUGAGUUGAAGAAGAGAUGAAUUCUUGUCAGCAAGGGAGCAGAAGUGACAGUUUGAGCACUGCCAGACCAACACAGGGAUGGGCCUCCUAGCUGGUUGCCCUCCACUCUGUAAUACCCUCUGAUUGUUGCCACUCAGACAUGGGUGAGAGUGGGAGUGGAUGAGAGGAGCACAAAGGUGUUUGCAGCAGAGAGAAGUCGAGGGGAACCACGGGCCUUGCCUCUGGAAUAUACUGAACGCUCACGAAGAUGAAACCAUUGAUGUAGGGAUAACAGAUCUAACCAAAGACUCUAACCUCCACCACACAACUCCAACCCUAACGUGAGUCAAUGAUACAUCGCCCAGAG